GACGGGGGAGGCAAGCGUUGUCCGGAAUCACUGGGCGUAAAGCGUCUGUAGGCGGUGAGGCGAGUCGCUGGUGCAAAACUCCGGCUCAACCGGGGGAAAGGCGGUGAAACGGCAUGACUAGAGUGUGGGAGAGGUUGAAGGAAUUCCGUGAGGAGCGGUGAAAUGCGUAGAGACAGGGAAGAACGCCGGAGGGGAAAGCGGUCAACUGGGCUACGCCUGACGCUGCGGGGCGAAAGCGUGGGGAGCAAACGGG
This 253-nucleotide ribosomal RNA is filed under the name uncultured bacterium. RNAcentral describes it as "partial 16S ribosomal RNA". It matches the Rfam family "Bacterial small subunit ribosomal RNA", at positions 524 to 776 of the family's 1533-position model. The record is from RNAcentral.